CAGAAAAAAAAAACAUGAAUGAUAUUGUUUAUUGUGAACGUCCCAAAAUCAAACGACCAAACAGUAAACGACAUGCCUGUCUUGGGCAAAGUACUCAAAUUGCCAGCAGUAUUGUGCAAUGCUUUCGUUCCUGCACAACUUGUUAUCAGAGAAACCAGUGACAAUAAGGUUUUAAAUUCUGCAGACAAAUACAUACAUUUAUAUAACGAAAGUAAGCUUCCAUGGACAUGCACUGACUUCCAUGCACCUUUUAUCAUAGCAGCAAAUGUACUGCUUUGCAAGCAGUGCGUGUUAAUGAUAUAAACUAGCUGAAAGUGAUGUGGGAAUGCUGCAUCAAACUAUCUAGACUAAGUGAGUUUCUCCUAAUCGUAGCAUGAAUGUAAACACGUAGCUUCGUUGUUAAAAGUAGUUCUAGUGUGCAGUUCAUUACUACUAGCUGUAAGUUGCGUAAUGCUGUAUCAAUUUUACAUUAAACUAAAUAAUCUCUAGACUUCAGAUAUUUUUUGUGUAUGUGCAGUUUCCUCAUCGAAGGUAUUAGUAAUACAAGCAGUUGCGUCCAUGACAAAAAUUCAUUACAAAAAUCGGCAGUUUCAUAACACACCAAGGCUGCGUUAUUAUUAUUACCAUUAUUUUGCCCGUUUAAUUAGUGUUGCUUCUCUGUACGUUUCUUCGGGCACAUCGCCUAGCUGGAUUUCGCGAUUACGUCGUUUGGCAAGGCGUCUGAACGCGAGCGACGUCGCAUGUUACAUAUCGAUUUUUAACUUGUGUAAUAUAUAAGUGCGGGUACCAGCGGUGUAGUAGCCUAGAAAUAUUAAAUAGUCAUUCAUUUACCAACGGGCGACCUCGAUACUAACGCAUCGUACUCACGCGCUCACUACAUUCAGAUUGUGGAUCUGCAAGUCAUCAAGGAGAUCAUUUUACCCCUACGAAAGUGCUAUGCGCAGACAUCAACAAAAAACGAGCUCCGCUAUGUGUCAGAACGUCAACUCGACGCCUCAACCGGGCAUGCACAACAGGCAAUCCUCCCAGCUAAAACAGCCUCCUACGGAUCCUCGGGAAAAGCACAUCAAUUUUUUUUAAGCGAGAAGUACGGGGUUUUCAGAACUUGAAGGAGAGCAUAAGUCACAAUUACACCACUUCCUUUAACAACGAUGCAGCACACACACACACACACAUAGACCGGCCGCACACGGACGAAACCCGCUACCAACGCGGGCAAUGGCGUCGGACAUUAUUGUGCAAGAUACAGCGUCGCAAUGCCUUUUCGUAUCACGUCGUCGACGCUCGAUGAAAACGCGCAGCUACAGCUACCGCACUGCUCCCACUGCAGCGCCAAAACGACGUGGCCACCCCUACAACGGAAUGGGGCCCAGUGACGUGACAACGGCGGAAUCGGACACCAUUUGCAAACAUGUACUCAAACCAGAAGAAAGCCCAAUGUGUCCUCUGGUAUCACGAUACACAGUCACCAAGAAAGUCCAGAGACAAUUCCAGACAGCAUACCACAGACACCUACCAGACGUCAAAAGCGUCAAGAUGUGGUAUGCGAAGUUUAAGGCAACAGAAAGCAUCUGUGAUCUCCCUAGAACAGGCAGGCCUGGACCUAGUGCGCAGGCAAGUCAGACAGUGAGAGACGUCUUCGUGAGUAGUCCCAAGAAGUCAAUCCGCAGAGCUUCACGCGAGUUGCAGAUUCCGAAGACACCAGUGCACUGCAUCCUAUGUUGACCAACACAUGGGUGGAAUUGAAAUAUCGCCUGGAUAUCCUUCGAGCAACGAAAGGACCACACGUCAAAAUUUAUAUGUGCGUACAUAAUAACGUGAUUAUGUUACCCAGACUUCAAGAUAAAAGAUAUGCACCUAUGUGUCAUAGUUUCUGCCUUCUGCAUGUUUGUAAUCAGGGAAAGACUUCUGGGACACACUGUAUUUUUUUCAGCUGGUAUGCGCAUUGCUCUUCAGAUGCUCACUAUGUCUCUUUGCAGUUAUUAAAAAGCCAUUGUUAAAGUAUUUCUAUUUAUCUUUUUUACACGUUGUGAUUCCAGGGAGAUGUGUUGGUGUAUUAAGACACUAAACAAAGAUAGGACACAUCACAGUCUUGCAGGCUUUAGGAAAUUUAUUACACUCUACUGCAGAUCCAACGACAAAGGCAUUGCUGUCACAUUGGUCACAAGAAACAAUCUUUCCAUUCCAGCAGAAAUGCGUGAGCGUCAAAUUCUAGCCAUUCUGACAGAUGCGAUGCAAUACUAUUCAGGAACAAGUAAUACAUGGUAACACCUCAGGAAAUACUUGAAACUGAAAAAAUUCUCUAUCUUCUCAUAUCCUGCAUCAACACAACAUACCACCUUGCACACACACUUAAACUGGAUUGAAUACAGCAAUCUUAACGCAAACUAAGCUUACAGAUAAUGUAGCACUGAAGCACAACGCAAGAAACAUUGAGAUGGAACAUAUCAGUUAACUGCCUGCAAGUUAGAUACACAAAGCGCUGUACAAUAUUAGAGCAAAACAUCUUUUCAGGCAUUCAAUAGGCAACCAACACCCUCACAUAUUUACAACCUGAGUACACCCAGGAAAAUAAGUGCUCACUGGAAAAGGAAAAAGACAAGAAGCUUCAGCAUCCAAAAUUACCUGCUAAAAGAACCAAAGGCAUAUCAUCACUAGCAACCAUGACUUAAAAUUUACCCAUAACGAGCAGUGAAACCAUGAGGACCAUCAGUUGUCCCAUUUUCGCACAGUUUGUUUGCUAUACCAGACAGCACUAAACAGCAGUCAAAGCCACCUGAAGCACACAAGCUUAAAGGUAACAAUAAAUAAACUACAUACAGCUAGCACUUAUGCCUCACUUUUCCAAUGGAGAAUAAUAUAAAACAUGGGAGGUGCACAUUAAUGCACAGACCCUAAACAGGUUAGCAUUCUCGCAUUACUGCAGCUUAGGCUCCUUAAGCGAUCCUGACAGAAGAAACACAGCCAAAUCAUGGUCAACUUGCAGCAUCAUGAAAAACAGGUGGAAAACAUGCUGUAAAGGGACAAGUGGUCAUUAUAGGUUUGUAAAGAAGCCAUCAAGAAAUUGCAAUUACAAUUCACAGAAAAAAGAACAGCACAUUUAAUUAGAAGUGCCCAUCAUUCCCCACACACUACACUGCUUGCACACUGCAGACAAGCUUCCCACCAUGAGCACCAUCAGAACGGAUACAAGGGAAAGAAAACAUUCCAACAAAUUGAAUGAGGUAUCAUCAGACUUCUGAAACUUAAAUUU
Long non-coding RNA from Dermacentor albipictus, 3253 nucleotides. RefSeq lists it as uncharacterized. Lineage: Eukaryota; Metazoa; Arthropoda; Arachnida; Ixodida; Ixodidae. The record is from RefSeq and is a predicted model, not a curated record.